GACGAACGCUGGCGGCAGGCUUAACACAUGCAAGUCGAACGAACGUAGCAAUACGUGAGUGGCGCACGGGAGAGUAACACGUGGGAACCUACCUUUUGGUUCGGAAUAACGUCGGGAAACUGACGCUAAUACCGGAUACGCCCUAUGGGGGAAAGAUUUAUUGCCAAAAGAUGGGCCCGCGCUAGAUUAGCUUGUUGGUGAGGUAACGGCUCACCAAGGCGACGCUCUAUAGCUGGUCUGAGAGGAUGACCAGCCUCACUGGGACUGAGACACGGCCCAGACUCCUACGGGAGGCAGCAGUGGGGAAUUUUGGACAAUGGGCGCAAGCCUGAUCCAGCAAUGCCGCGUGCAGGAUGAAGGCCUUCGGGUUGUAAACUGCUUUUGUACGGAACGAAAAGCCCUGGGUUAAUACCCUGGGGUCAUGACGGUACCGUAAGAAUAAGCACCGGCUAACUACGUGCCAGCCGCCGCCGUAA
Molecule: ribosomal RNA, 476 nt
Filed under: uncultured bacterium
Lineage: Bacteria
Description: partial 16S ribosomal RNA
Rfam family: Bacterial small subunit ribosomal RNA
Source: RNAcentral